GGGGAAUAUUGCACAAUGGGGGAAACCCUGAUGCAGCGACGCCGCGUGGAGGAAGAAGGUCUUCGGAUUGUAAACUCCUGUUGUUGAGGAAGAUAAUGACGGUACUCAACAAGGAAGUGACGGCUAACUACGUGCCAGCAGCCGCGGUAAAACGUAGGUCACAAGCGUUGUCCGGAAUUACUGGGUGUAAAGGGAGCGCAGGCGGGAAGACAAGUUGGAAGUGAAAUCUAUGGGCUCAACCCAUAAACUGCUUUCAAAACUGUUUUUCUUGAGUAGUGCAGAGGUAGGCGGAAUUCCCGGUGUAGCGGUGGAAUGCGUAGAUAUCGGGAGGAACACCAGUGGCGAAGGCGGCCUACUGGGCACCAACUGACGCUGAGGCUCGAAAGUGUGGGUAGCAAACAGGAUUAGAUACCCUGGUAGUCCACACCGUAAACGAUGAUUACUAGGUGUUGGAGGAUUGACCCCUUCAGUGCCGCAGUUAACACAAUAAGUAAUCCACCUGGGGAGUACGACCGCAAGGUUGAAACUCAAAGGAAUUGACGGGGGCCCGCACAAGCAGUGGAGUAUGUGGUUUAAUUCGACGCAACGCGAAGAACCCUACCAAGUCUUGACAUCCUGCGACGAUGCUGGAAGCAGUACUUUCCUUCGGGACGCAGAGACAGGUGGUGCAUGGUUGUCGUCAGCUCGUGUCGUGAGAUGUUGGGUUAAGUCCCGCAACGAGCGCAACCCUUAUGGUCAGUUACUACGCAAGAGGACUCUGGCCAGACUGCCGUCGACAAAACGGAGGAAGGUGGGGAUGACGUCAAAUCAUCAUGCCCUUUAUGACUUGGGCUACACACGUACUACAAUGGCGUUAAACAAAGAGAAGCAAGACCGCGAGGUGGAGCAAAACUCAGAAACAACGUCCCAGUUCGGACUGCAGGCUGCAACUCGCCUGCACGAAGUCGGAAUUGCUAGUAAUCGCAGAUCAGCAUGCUGCGGUGAAUACGUUCCCG
This 995-nucleotide ribosomal RNA is filed under the name uncultured bacterium. Its description in RNAcentral is "bacterial SSU rRNA". It matches the Rfam family "Bacterial small subunit ribosomal RNA", at positions 356 to 1376 of the family's 1533-position model. The record is from RNAcentral.